UCCCACAAGGCAUUGGUCCUUUCCCAUUGGGAAGUCAUGAAUAAGAGACUAUGAAGCUCGCACGUCAGAUCUUCCUCAAUUAAUCCACCAUUAGCAUGUUUGGGAUCCACUACUGGAGGGUUAACAGCAGCUUUUGUAACUGUAUGCCGACCAUACCCAGUUAUGCUCUGCUAAAAAUGAACUCUUUGCAGACCAACCCUCUCGGGCUGUCAGUGUUUUCCGUUUUCCUAUUUUAACGUUUGUGUAUAGUGGCAGGCGACAGAUGGUGUAGAUCAGAUCGAUUUGAUUGCAUUAGAUGAUUUUUCCCCCUUCUCCACUCCUUUCUGGAAGCUCGCAUCAGCUGAAGGCUAUCGCCUGGGACUCCUCGGAAGCGUGAGCAAGCCGCCACCACGCGAAGGCACUGGGGCACAGCCAGCGCGAGGCGCCAAGGUCCCUUCCCAGGGCUUGUUAACACUGUAACCCGGCACUCGGAGGGAAGCAGCUCCCGCUGCCCAAAGCCUACCUCACCGCACAUCAGAUGACUCCCUGGCUUCUACACACAGUUGGAGUUCCGCUUGAAACCUGGAUUUAGAGGGCUUCUCUCGCUGCCAUGACACUCCAUCAAAGCACCUAGAGUGGGCUGGCUGAGACCAGAGUGGGCACGAAGUAGAGCAAGUACAGAGGAAAACACUGGGAAAUCACCAGAAUUGGAAAUAGAGCAGCCAUUUGGAUUUGAACAAGAAGCAGCCGAGCUCGGCUUUGGAUUCUUCUUUAGGGAAAUCGAGUUAUGGAUUUAUGGUCCCGGUCAAGCUCAGCCCAGCCCCAGCCAGGGGCGGGCUCAGCAGCAAGAGUUCUGGUGGCAGCAGCGGCAGUAGCAGCGGCAGCAGCGGCAGCGGCAGCGGCAGCUUGGUCCUCUGACUCUCUUCGGUGACGGGUAUUCUUGGGUGGAUAAUACGGAUUACGUUGUUAUUGCUUAAGAAUACGCGUAGUCGAGGAGAGUACCAGCGGCAGGCGGGCAGCGGCCGCCCCUCCCAGCCCACCAGCUGGCCACUAAACGCUCGUGGUUGCCAAGGUGAUGAAUAUUGAAAGUUAAUUGUGGGUACCGUAUUCAUUGAAAGAACACUGGUCCUCAAUUUGAUUUUGCAUGUCUCAUGGAGCACAAGGUUGGCUUCUUUCCAUGCUGUCUCACUACCCUCUGAAGAACUGAUUUGCCUAUGACAGAUCUAUUAAGUAUCAAAUUCUGUUUCAUGAAGACAAUGAAAGGAUUCGUUUGGGUGGAUCUGAUUGUUGAGGUAAAUAUAGUAUGUGAAAAUUAAUCUUAAAACUAAAUUCAAAAUUCAAGUUUCCCCAACCUACACUUACUCUCUAGCUAAAAGUUUUUUAACUUUGGGCGUACUUCAAAUUGUCUGGGGAACGUUUAAAAAUACCAUUUACUGAAUCCCACCCAGGGCAAUUAAAUCAGUCUCUGUAGGUGGAGGAUUAGUGUUUCUCAGAAUCUUCCCAGUGGUUCCAGUGAGCAUCCAGGGCUGAGAACCACCACUCUGGGGUGUGAGAAUUCAGAGGUGGUGAGAUGGUGACUAAAUGCUACUUCAUUCAUUUCUUCAUUCACUAUGAUAAUGGGUAUAUAAAGAUCAUAAAGUAUUUUGAGAAGGUCUAAAGUAGACAGGAAAGUAACACAAAGCUCUCUUUCUACAGAAACGGAGUCUAGUUCAGGGAGAAAAUACAGGGAAAUGUCAUCUUAAAAAAUACUGAAAUUUAAAAAAAUAAAAUUUCCUAAAUAAAAUAAAACUGCCUAAAUUGUGGAGGUUAUUGAUAGUUAUUGAUAGUUAAUUAUAUAGAUAAUUGAGAAUUCUUGCAGAAAUCAUUGGAGAUUUUUGAACAUGAUCUGUUAUGUUUUGCAAAAAAAAGGGGGAUACAGAGAAUCAAGUUAUAUAAUUGUUUUGAUAUUUUUAGAUCGAAGUUAAAUGAGAGAUUACUGACAAAAAAUGAUAAUCCAGAGGCAGUAGAUGUUGAGAAUACCACUGAAGCAAAAUCCAGAGGAUUUUAAGUUCAAGACCAGUGGUGAGGAUUGAGAUCUCCAUCUGAUACCCAAGCCUGGCUUUCUGGGAUUAUGAACUCUUUAGACCCAAACCCCACUAUUUAAUGGACCAGAUAUGUGUUUUAAGCUGAACUAAUCCAGACACUCAUCAUGUAAUAGUGGCUGCUGGAAUCACCCCAGAAGUUAAAGGUGCAGGUAUGAGAUUGGGUGCACUGUGAUUUCAAAACACUUUUUAUUGCUUUGAUUUUUUUUCUUUUAAAUGUUAAGUGUUUUAUGAUUUUUAACUCCUUGGCUGUAUUAAAAGAACAUAUUUGUUUUGUUGUAAAAAAAGUGUCUUUUAUUAAAAAAAAUGGAAACAUAGCUUCUUUUCCUUUAUUCUCUAGUAUAUUCUAAAUUUUAAAUUACUGCUAAAUUAAAUGGUUUGUGUCAGAUGUUAACAAUAUGGGGUCUUAGAUUAAAACAAGCUCCAUGUAAUCUUAUUGAGCCAGUAGGUCAUAGAAAUAGGAGAAAAUGUGUUUGAAUCACAGGAGAGAAGGGAUGUUGGAUGGAUCUGUAAAACACUUUCUGUUGUAGUAUCAGCUGAUUGAUAGCAGUGAUUCUCAGAAGGGUUCCAACAUUAUGCCUUUUAAAAGCUGGAGAUUAGUGCAACCAUGGUGAACAGCACAGUGACAUUCUGGCAAAGAAAAAGGGUCAGGGCUGGCAAAAUGUGGCAGGUGUCAAAAUAAAAGGUUAGGCUCUGUGCCUGGGGACCCAUCUGUCAGAUAGAAGUAUGAUAAGGCAAUUAAUGUAUUUAUUUAUGUUGCUCAUGACAAACCGUGUAUUCCAUAAAAAUGAUCAAUUUAAACAUUCUUAACUGUUCUUUUGAAAUUAGAAUUAAUAUAAAAAUAAAAUGCUCAAGAUAAAACGCCAGAUCUAAUAAUAAAAUUGGUUGUUUGUAUAAUCAAAUAGAGUUAACUUUGGAAAAUUAUAGUAGUUUGCAUGGAAGAAUUAAAACAAUGAAAUAAAACAUCUUGACAAAAUGGAGUUUGAAUUAAGACAUACAUACAAAAUUGAUGUUUAUGUUGCAAGAUAAUUUUGGCUGCACUCCUCAUUAAUUCAACAUGCUUUAUAUUUAUUAAACUAGAUUUCAUAAUUUAAUAAUAAAAUCAAGGCAAAAAUUAUGAGAAAAUAAAUUUAGACACUCAGGAUCUAUGUUCCACCUUUUCUUUAAAUGUUUUGUUCACAAACUUGUCAUCAUUAGAGCUCUCAUUUUCACUUUGUGACUGAUCCUGACUCUUCUUUAACAUAUUUAUGAUUUAUUUAGCUUUUUUUUUUUACUACUUCUGCUUUACAAUCUGUUUAAACUAGAAUGUUUGGAUUUAAUAUUCAUUAGUGAUCUAAUUUUUUCAAAUAAAAUAAACUCUUAUACGCUUCAAAAUGUCAUGUUAAUAAAAAUUUAAUACAGGUUAAUAAAAAUUUAACCCUGAAUUGUGAAAUAAAUGUGGUUUACUGCAGUCCAAAGUCUUAUGCAACAACAGAUCCUGCCCAUACUGUACACUGAAUAAACACAAAAGCUCUUAAUUGCUAUGAUUCAGUAAGUGAAGCGUACAUCUUAUACCAACACCGACAUUUGAAGAGGAAUAACUUGAACAUCAACCGUACACUGUACUAAACAGAGGAAAAGUCAAGUUUUUUAAUUGUAGGAUGAAAGCCAGCGUGACUAUGUUAUCACCAAGUUGCAUGUUCUGGCUGCACAGUGAUGAAAUUUAACAAAUGAAGUCAUUGCAGGAAAGGGGUUCGUCUGGCUUUGGAAGGAGAAGAGGUCUUAUGUUCAGUAGAUUCAUUUUCUUUAUGUUGAGGUAGCAUUUGUGCCAUCAUCACCACUUCCCAUUUGUUAAAAGGACUUUAGUUAAACUUUGAGUCAACGGCUUUUCUCCCCAGGGUUCCCUUCCAGUCUGAAACAUAUUAGUCUUAACUUACCUUCCAUUAGUCACAUGAAGCUUUCCCGGGGACAACGUUAGAGGGGGAGUCAAUGAAGGGAAAGUCAUUGAAAACACACAAAGCACAAACUUUGUUACAUGUUCUAAUUAGUAGUUUGAUACAUGAUUUACAAUCUGUACCCGAGGUUUAAUUAGAAUUAAGCACUAUUUAAAAUUAAAUUCACUCUUUCCUUCAUUUCCUGAUUCAAAGUUGCAUAUUGUUCCUAUUGCUGGUUUAAUUUCAUUUGAACUUCAAUCUUCUAAAUUAGCUCUGUUUCCUCCCUGUUUAUUUUCAUUUGUCUGGAUGUACUUGAAAAUUCAUGAGGCAAAAUUUAAAAUUUCCUUACUCACUGUUCUGUAUGACUCUUUAAAAACAUAGGACAUGCUAGAUAAUAAAAGUAAUGAUUUCAACAGAAAAUCAAGGUGCCACUCAUUUUGCCAUGGAGCCGUAAAAAUGACACAUCAAACAAAAGGUAAGAUUUUUUUUUAACUUCUUGACAUGGAGAAUUACCCAUUAAAAAUUAGUUAUUUCAUAGCAUAUAUUGUAUCUUUAUUUGGGAAGAAAACAUGCAAUAGGAUUCAGUUUAUAAAAAGUAGCAUCAAUUUAAAUUCUAAUUUAAUUUUUUCCAGAAGCAUAUGAGAAAAUUUUUGCUGGGCAUCCACUCACUUCAGUUCAGCCAUUUGAAGAAAUUUUGAAAAUUCUGAUGCAUUUUAAAACUCUUCUUUUGCUCUGGCAUUGUUCAAAUUUGCCUUGAUCUAUCAUCACAGGUAUGCUAUCAUGUCUCCCUUAACCAAUUAAAUUCACACAAAAUACUUUAUUUUCAGGCUUUACAUAUAUAAGAUUACUUUGGAAAAGUAAUCUCUCAUUCGUCAUUUUUUUUUUGCAAACCAUAAUAAUAGUAAACGACGUGAAUAACUUAAUCAUUUUAACAAAUGAUAAAAAUCAUUUGUAAGAUAUGUUGUAUAAAGGAUACAGGUGCAAUUUUAUUUCUUCUUGUGGAAAAAUGCAGUUACUUUCAAAAGUUCUAUUGUUUUCAAAUGGUUGGAAUGUGCUUCCACCAAUCAUCAAAUGAUAUUUUUCAUCAGCAUCAAAUAAUUUUGAAUUUCCUUCAUUCUCGAGGCAUCAUCCUGUCAAGCACUUUGUAUUUGUUUCUUCUAUAGUGUACCAAGUUUUUAUGUUUUGAAUUGAUCAACCACUCAUACAAUACAAGGUAAGUACUAUAUUAUUACCAUUUCCAGAUGAGGAUGGUUGGCACAGAGAGGGUAAAUAAUUCUUAAAAUGUGAACCUCUCUCAUUUUUGUAACAGAAUUUCUUUGUUCACAUUGCUCAAGCCAGAAUGCGGAAGAACCACGUUGAAAGUAUGAAAAGUGUUCUGAAAGGUAAGAAAAAUAAAUAAAUAAGAGCAAAAAGCAAACAGUCUGAAAUCACAAAGAAAUUUGUCAAGGGCCUAGCAUGAGGGUUUUAAGAUGAAUGUGGCAAUGAAACACAAAUAAGAAGCAUGACUAGGAAACCAUGCAGAAGCUCAAGGUAGAAAGGAAAGGAAAAAUGAUGGAGACGUGUUGAAAUAAGCAUAAAAGGCUUUUUGGAUCCUUAGCAUGAAAACUUGCACAAUUUUGAGAUAAUAUUUCCUGUAUUAAUUUUUGAUACAGAAUACAGAAGCACUUAUGUUUUUAGAAGUAAAAAUGUUACAGCCGGGCAUGGUGGCACACACCUGAAAUCCCAGCAGCUGGGGAGGAUUGCAAGUUCAAAGACAGCCUUAGCAAUGGGAGGCGCUAAGCAACUCAGUGAGACCCUAUCUCUAAAUAAAAUACAAAAUAGGGCUGGGAUGUGGCUCAGUGGUUGAGUGCCUCUGAGUUCAUUCCCUGGUACCAAAAAAAAAAAAAAAAAAGAUGUUACUGGCAUUCGUGAUUUUUGUGAUUUGUCAAGUGAAUAGCUCAGUAUAUCAGGAGGGCAUUGUUGAAUGAUGGUUAGGGGGUGGACUUGUAGACAGCUAGGAGUUCCACUCCUGGCUCUCCUCCUCCUGUUAUGUUGGCAAGGGCGUGUCAGAGCACCUUCCACUGAAUUACAGUAGCUGACUACUGCAUCUAUUUCCAAAACCACAUUCAGUUAUGUCACACUGAUAGAUUGAAAUCAGAAAAGAUGACAUUAUUUAUACCAUCACAAUUGGCAAAACCUAAAUCAGACAAAUCAGGGCUAUAUUCCUCAUGUGCUAGCUCACCAGCCCACCGCUGGACCCUGGGCAAAUUGUCUAGCCUUUAUGAGCUUUAGUUAUUUUCAUCUGAAAAGAAAAAUAGAUACAAUAGAUCGGUAUAAGAUUCUGCAGACCUUUCAAUCGAUGACAUAUUUCACGAUUCCUGCUACAUAGUAAAUAUCAAUAAUGGUACCACUCUAGUAAUUUAAUUUAGCCUAUUAUACAGAGCAUCAAACAAUUUUGCAUUUUGAACACACUAGAAAGCAUUUCAAUUAGUUCAUUGAAAUUCUAGGAGAGUAGGAUUUGUAAAAUUAUUUUACUAACUUUACAAAUGAAAUGGUUUCUCCUAAAUAUUAUUAGCAUUUUUAAAAGAAGAUAAACACUUACUAAUAUUUACAUAGUGAAUUUCUUCUGUAUUAUUGGGUUAGAAAAACUUUUCAGUUUCCUACAGUGACUCACAUAUAUAUAGAAGCUUAAAGGCACCUCUUGGAGGGUUUUAACCCACUCCCCAAAUUACAUUAAGUCCAUGGCUUCAGUUCUUCAAAACUUCUUGAUAAGUUAAUAUGAGGUCUGAUGCUGGCUAUAUGCCCUGCUGUUCAGAAAGCUCUAAUAGAAUAUUCUAAGCCAGAGGCCACUGUGUCUAUCAUGAUGACAGGCAGUAUGUAUAACUUGAAACUUUAAAGGUAGGCACUGCAGGAAAUAAGGAAUUUAAGCAAAGAUUAAACAGUCUAUAAAUCACCCUGCUUAGUUGCCUAGUUAAAAACUCUUUCAUCUAGGUAGUCUUCAAUAUGGAUUAUUUGUUCUUAAGAUCCUUGUUCAUUUCUGGUUUUGGAAUAUAAUUUUUUUACAAUAUUUAAAAAUAAGUUGUACAUACACUUUUUCCACUACCAUUUACAAAAGGCGAAGAUCAUUUUAUUGUCAAAAAUAUUUUAAAGUCUAUUUAAAUAAUUUGGGGAUAUUGAAAGAAAUUACUGAAGUUAAAUUAAAUUCUAAAUCAUUUUUUUACUUCAAAAACUAUGAUAGAUUGUUGCAAAGAUAAAAACAACUCUUCCUUUCCUUGUAUGCAAACACCUUUGCAACAUGACUUUGCUGUUCCUUUCAUCAAGAACUAAAGUUUAUUUCACUUCCCCUUCAGUCUGAAAUUUGCCAAUCAACUUGCAUUGCCCAGUAUGACAUUAGCAAACCUGAUGAAAACACUGGUUUGACAAACACAAGCACAGUAGAACUUGCUGUCUUUGUUGCCCUGGGGUCACUGUGUGAAGAAACAUGAGCUAGUUACAGAGAGAGAAUGUUGGAUGGAGAUGAGUCAGGUUGGUUGUGGCACCCUGGACCAAACACCAGAUGCAUGUCUGAAGUCAUUCUGGACCAUUCAGCCUUAGAUGACCUGUGGGCUGACUGGAUAACCAAUUUAUCACCCACAUUCCCAGGAGAAAAAAAAUGCAAUAAUUGUUUUAAACCAGGGGUCAGCAGUGUCCAAGGGCCAAAUCCAGACUAUGGGAUGUUUAUGGAAAUAAAAUUUUAUUGGAACACAGCCACAUUCAUUAUUUAAUGUAUUGUCUAAGGCAACUUUCAACUGCAGUGGCAGAGUUGAAUAGUUGCAACAGAGACCCUGUUUGAGAAGACUAAAAUAGGUACUGUUUUCCUCUUUACAGUAAAAGUUUUGCUAACUCUUGCAUUAGGCCUCUAAGAUUUGGGAUGAUUUAUUAAGCAGCAAUAAAUAAAUUGCACAAGCUUGUUUACCAAAGGGGAAUAUGUCUCAUUUCUUAUUAAACCAAAAAAAUUACUAUGCUCAUGAAAAAAUAUGAAGUUUUUUCAGAGUCAAUAAUCUUUCCCAUGACAAAAGCAUUACUAUUCAAUUUGCAUUUAUAAAGUACAGUUAUGUAGACUGCUGAUCCUACACCAAUUUAUCCAUCCUUCCUUUUUCUAUAGUAAUACAACUGGUGCUGGGUAUGUAACCCUCCUUUCAGGAAGUGAUUUCUGAACUGCUGUGUUACAUCUGUGUGACCAUAAGGCUAUGUUUUCACUUCUGAAAUAUUAAGGGAAGUAAUGUGUGCAUUCAUUGGUCUUUCUCCAUGUUCUCCUUCCUCCCCAUUAACUGAAUCCUAUGGCAACCUGACUUUCCAUUCAGAUAAGUGGAAAUUCCCAUAGAAAGAAGGAGUACAUGAAACUCAUCUAAGUAACUUACUGGAACCUUGUAACUUAAAAACAAUAGGAAAGGCUGGAGUUGUAGCUCAGUGGUAGAGCAUUUGUUCAGCAUGUGUGAGGCACUGGGUUCGAUCCUCAAUACCACGUAAAAAUAAAGAAAUAAAAUAAAGCUAUUGUGUUCAUCUACAACUAAAAAUACAUUAAAAACAAAACCAAAUAAACAAACAAAAAAAGAAAAAAACAAAAGGAAGCAAAGACUCCCCCAAACUUGGAAUAUCCAUCUUGGACUAUUAAUAUGAAAAAGAAAACAGGGGCAUAGAUUUAUCACUGGGUAUCUUUGUACAGUAGGUAGUCUUUUAUUUGCUCAAGAUUGGACUCUAAUACUUGAGAUGAUUAACUCUCUGGUAACUGAGAAAUCUAAACAUGAGGUUUUUUUCCUUCAAGAGUACUCCACUAUUAAUGUUACCCCCCAAAAUUUAAUAACAUAGAAAAAUAGUCAUUAGUUAGGAUACCCUAUCUAAUGCAAUGAUUUUAUGCAAUAUGUCUUGGCACAAAAAUUAUUUAGUUGGUAAAACAUUGGAUGUGGGGUCAAAACUCUAAAGUACUUUGAUAAACUUUGUCCCAAUUUUGCUGAGUUGGCCAGAGGCUAGUCACUUACAGUUACUGUGAUUAUCUUUUCCUAGAUAAAAAUAUAUAACUCCUGAUAGGCAAAGAAGGAAGUUUGAACACUGACCUUUCUAAUUCCUACUUCUCCCAAGUAAGAGGGUUGCAAUAACUGGUGCUUGCCCUAGGCAUGUGUCAUUUUAGUCCCAAGAAACGCUUAUAUACCAACAUAGUGCCUUAGGUAAUGUAAUGGGGGAAAUAAUCAAGGUAAAUCUUUGGCAUUUGGACAGUAGGGAUAGUUUUCCCUCGAAAAGACACAUAUCACCUCCCUCUUAAGGUAAUUAGGAAAAUAUUAGGAAAGCGAGUUUUAUUUAUAUUCUGGAUACCUACUCAAUGAUGGCAGCCUAUUUAAGUGCCAAUAGAAGGAAUCUGUUAAGCAUUCAAAUUUGAGUACUCUCCCCACUCACCCUGAGGUUUUGAGGGACUAGGGUAGAUCCCUAUAACCUCAUAGAUAAUAUCACCAUAGCCGAUUUUAAGACAGUGAUCUUUCUUUGGGAAAUCACAGCAACAGCAGAAAUCAAAUUCAGGUACAAAAGUCUCAGUUCCAGGAAAUGUAGACAUCUAGGUAAGGAAAAUAAAUCUGGGAACAAAAGACUUACAGUUUCCAAAUGGAAAUCUUUUAGGUUUUAAAAUAGUAUUUUAUGACCAAUUUGUUGAUGAAUAAGGAAUUAUUCCUAAACAAAACUAUAAAAAUAAAGUUGGCUUGCUUUACCUGUGAGCGUCCUGCUCAGCCUUUAGUGACUAGUUUAAAAGUAACUCCUUUGGAAGUGAUACUAGGUGUCCCUGUUCUGUACUCUUCCUCCAUAAUUUCUGCAUCAGAGCAAGCAGCACGGUGAGUUUAGUUAUCUAAUUGCCUGUCUUCCCUGCUGCAAUAAAUGCUCCGUAAGGAAAGAAAUUGUCUCUUUCUUGCUCACCAAAAUAUUCCCAGAGCUUAUUAGGAUGCCAGGAAUACACCAGAUGCUUAAGAAAUAUUUGUCGAAGAAAUGAAACUCUGAAAGGAAAAUAGCCAGUUGAUUUUCCCAACAUAGGGAAUGGGCAUGAACAGUAAUGAGACCAGGUGAAACUGCCUGCAGGAUGUUCUUCCAUCAAGCAGUUAACGGUGUAAGCAGCACAGACCCAGAGGUGCAUUCUGAAGAUGGGCCAUGUCCCCUUACAUUAUGUUAAUUUGGAGGAAAGAUGAGAAAAAUGGUAGAUUUUAGUGCAGGGCCAAGGACUAGAGAUAAAAGCCCUUAUUCAGACUGAUUCCCUUGCAAAGACAUACAUAGCUUUGGGGAAGGGAUUUGAACCACUUUGAUUUUCUGUUCUGGAAUAUAAUUGCUGUGGUUAUUUUUCUAUGUUAUUAAAUAUUCUUUUAGGUAACAUUAAGAAUAGAGUACUCGUGGGGAACAGAGCUGGUGUUUAGAUUUUCCAAUUACCAGGGAAGUAAUCUUCCCAGGUAUUAGAGUCCAAACUUCAGCAAAUAAAAUCACAGUUGAAUUAAAAUAGAAUCCAGAGCUCCAUGAUUAUGUUUGAAAUGCAUGUAAAAUAUGUUAUUUGCCUGCUUUCAAAUGUGGGCUUGGGGGUUUUGUAUAUUUCAAAAGUGAGAGAGGAUAUAAAAAAAGUCAAAGACUUUAGAGGAGAAACUAAAAAGAUCUUAUGAAACAGUUUCCAAGGUAGGCUACAAAAGGUCAGUCAGUCCUAGCCAGCAUCCAGACAGCUGCAUGAAGUGGGGAAAGCAACUUACUCUCUCUUUACCUGGAUCUCAUUAGUAAAAUUAGGAUGAAAUAAUUUAUAAGGUUGCUAUUAGCUUUAAAACUUUUAUGAGUUCAGAGCCUUUAAAAAGAUUGUGUCUUCAGCAGAAAACACCACUGUGAAUUUUUUUUUCAAUAUUCCUUUUAUCUAUAAUGGAAGCAAGUUAAAAAUAAUAGGCCUAAUGUUCACAGAUCCAUUAAAUAUUUACUGGUCACUCUCUUGAUGACCAUUUUGAUUCAAUACAUAGUAUAUAUAAAUCAUCAAUAUUUUCAAAUUCAAAAAUGCACAGGAAGGAAUUUUAUAGCUUCUGUGAUAGCUUUGAAGUAAACUGUGAUUUACCUCCUUGUUUGUGUAAGUGUUUUUGUGCUUAUCAUUUAUCAGUAAGCCCAGGACUCUAAGUACAAUAUUAUAUAUGCAUGCUAAGUACUUAGUUUAUCAUUAUAAUUUUCCUCUUGAAUUGCAAAUUGUGUAAUGUACAUCAUUUAACUUUUCUAGGAUUCCCCUGUUUAUUUUUAGGAUGUUAAUGUCCAGAAACAAUUGAGAAAAAAAAGUACUUCUUCAUCCAUGUGGUAUGCUAAUACUGAAAAUAAAAUAAGUGCUGUUCCCCUUGAGGGAAAUGUAAUUAAAGAUAAAGGGGAAAGAUAUAGAGAAUAAUGAUAUUUGUUUAUACAUAAGUAAUGUGAUAAUACUGUUUUAUAAUUCUGUGCAUUUUUCUUAUUUUACUGAAUUCUAUGUUCCCUCUACUACUUUCUCUUUUUUUUCAUAAAAUGUCAUCAUUUAUUUGUUUAUUUACUCACAUAUUGCCAUCUUCAUUAUUUGUAGUUUAUCCAAAUAUUCCUUGAAUGGUUCUCUGUACAUGUUUCACAGUAAAAAGUUGCUGACUGAUUAUCCCUUUCAAUGCUGCUCCCAACACCUGCUUCCCAAUGAGAAGAUCCCUUCUGUAACUUACACACAAGAAGCAUUUCCACCUCCUCUUCUUGUGCAGAGGAUGUAUGAUGCAGUUGUGUUCACCGAGAUGUGAGACAACAUCUUCUUGGAGCAUUUGUCCAUACUCUGCAGACCAAAGGAAGAGCUGCCUUUUCAUCCAACUUUUGAGCAACCUCUGUGAAGCUACCUGAAGCUACCAUAGCCAUCUUCCAAGGCUGGGAAAGUAACUGACACACUGAGGAGAACAGAAAAAGAAGAUGGAAAAACCUGGGAUUUUGGUGAAAUUUCAUGAGCUUAUGAAUUAACCAAUUCCUUACAAUCUUGACUCUAUAGAAGAAUUCUUGGCAUGUGACAUAGUACAUUUCCUUUAUUGUUUAAGCCACCUUUAUUUUGUCUUUUGUUUCUUCUAGUUGAAACCAGUACACUCAUCAUUAUGCUAUGCAUACAUAUUAACACUAUCUUCUUGUGGAUCCUGCUUAGCCUAAAUGUUAGAUAAGAAUAAACUAACAAAGCAACCCUUUUCCAUCUGAAAUAGAAGGUCACAGAUCUCAGCACUACCCCAGUCACGUAAUAAUAAUAAUGGCUACAGUUUACAAUUAGUAAGUACUUACAAUGUAUGAAAAGAACAUUAUGUUGUGGACUUUAUAUAUUUUGUUUAAUCUACACUAAAUAUCUCGAAACUGGAGUUAUAUUAACACUUUUUAAAAUGGAAAAAAUGUGGCAGAGAGAUAAUAAGCAAACCUGUGGAGGUCCCACAAUUAAUUAGUGGGUACAUUCAAUGUCUCUUUAGAACCAGCUAGCAAUCAUGAUAUUAUUGUUUAAUUCAAGUGUAUAUUUGAGAUAUAGGUUAUAUGUGGACCUUUAUUUAGCUGCAUAUAGGAUUAAAGUGAACAGAGCAACAUAUCAUAUUCAUGCUCCCUAAGAUUUCCAUUCAUACUGUAGCUCUGUGUACUGACUAUAAUAGUAGUUUGUAUGAUGGAGUGGGAUAUACAAGUAUACAUAUAUGUAUAUGUAUGUGGGAUACAAAUAUGUGUAGGACAUAUAUAUAUAUAUAUAUAUAUAUAUAUGUAAAUACAUACCUAUAUAUGUAGGACAUAUAUAUAUCAUUAUAUAUAUAUUUAUAUAUGUAUCAUUUAUAUAUAUGUAUAUCAUUCCUCUGCACUGAGAAAAUUUUACCACUAGUACUUUCAUAAUACCAUCAAAAACACUAAACAAAAUUAAACAAAACAUGCUAUAUAUAGAGAGAUAGAUAGAUCUAUAUCUAUAUCUAUAUAUAGAGAGAGAGAAGAAAAAUGGAAAAACAGACAAUUAAGUUGAAUCAAAAUUUGUCAUUUUCAAAAUUAUUAUUGUUUAGACUGAGAAUCUAAAGAUGGAAUGGUUAAGUAUGAUCUCUAGACCAAAUAUAGAGGUCUAUAGUAAAUAAAAUGUAAUGAAAUUGUUUAAACUUACUUUUCCUAAACAAUUUUAUCAGGAACCCAUGAUGCUUUCCUUCUCCAAUUAGUGGAUAUGUUCUUUAAAACUGGUUCUAAAAUUUCACAUAUUGUUUGUUAUAUAAUUUUGAUGCAUAAAAUAAUACAUGUAAUUUUCAUAAGAAUAAUGAAACAUGAAAAGAAACCAGCCAGAAAGUAGAAAAUUACCAAUACCACUGAGGCUGUGUCGAUGCCCUUCCAAAAAUCUCAUCCUCCCGCUGUUCCCAAAAGGCAACCAGUAUUCUGAAUGUUGGAUUUAUUUGUUCUUUAAAAUAGUUUUUCUCAUAAAUGUAUCUAUCUCACCCAGGUGUGAUCGCACAUGCCAAGUGAUUCAGGAGGCUGAGGCAGGAGGAUCACAAAUCCAAAUAGCCUCAGCAACUUAAUGAGACCCUACUCUCAAAAUUGAAAAUAAGGAAAAGAAGAGCUAUGGAUAUACCUCAGUGUUAGACUAUCCCUGAGUACAAUCUCUAGUACUCAAAAAAAAAAUAAUAAAAAUGAAAACAAAUGUAUCUGUUGCUGGAUUUUGAACUUCAUAAUAUUGCAUCAUAGUCUGUAAUCUGAAACGUGUAUUUGUCAGUCAAGCCAGUGUUUCUUAUAUUCAUCAUGUUACACAUAAUUGUAAUGUGUUCAUUUUCAUGGCUACAUAAUGUUCCUCAGAGUAGCUAUACAACAACCUUUUUUUCAGUCAUCUAUUAAAAGAUGUUUUGGUUUCUUUCUAAGUAUUUAAAAAUUGCUACCAGAAAAAUACAUUAGACAUAUUUAACAUAUUUCUAGUAGAAAUUAUGCUUGUUUCCAAAUCUUUCUCUGAUUCAUAUAUAAAAACAUUGAAAAAAGGUUAAUGAAAGUCUAUCACUAUGAUUGGGGACUGGUCUCUUGGGUGUUGCUCUUUCAGUCAACUUGUGGUUUGUAUUUUGAAGAUGUUUUAUUAGUUGCAAAUAACUUAAGAAUAAGUAAGAAUUAUUAAGGCUUUCUGGUAAGUUGUUUUGUAUAAUUAUGUUUGCCCAUCUUAUUACAUAUAUUUUUUAUCAGUCUACUCUAUUAAUAGGAGUGCACACAUUUUAAAAUAUUAGAUAUUUUAGUAGUUUCCAUACUUCUUUCAAUGUUCCAUGCCCUUAGGUUUUAGUUGCAGCCAUUUAGAACAGCCAGUCUUCAAUCUCUUAUUUGCUGGUCUUGUACUCUGUCUUGCAUGAGCCUCCCUAGAAAACAAAUAUGUAGGUGAAUUCAGUGCUCUAUCUUCUUGGAAUAUAAUCUCAGAGAACCAAAAGUCAUGGAAAAACAGCUGAUUAUUAUGUUCCUGAGCUUUCCACUGAUUUGCACCAUGGAUGGCUUGAUGGUUUCAGGAAGUCUUCAGAGAGGAUCAGUGAAACUAUGGUGAUUAAGAAUAGUCAAAAUGAAGGAAAGGUCAGCCAUGUACUUGCUGGUCAUUUCUGUUUCCUGUCUUUUAGUAGCUUAGUCAGCCUUUCAUUGCUGUGAACAAACCACCUGACAAGAUCAACUUAGAGGAGGAAAAGUUUAUUUUGGCUUUCAGUUUGCAGUCAGCUGACCCCAUUGCUCUGGGCCCAAGGUGAGGCAAAAGAAAAGGUGUGGCAGAGGAAGGCAGCCAGGACAUGACAACCAGAAAACAGAAACCCCAAAGGAAUGGCCCCUGGCUGACCUCCUCCAGUAUCACCUAGUGAUCAUACAGUGAUUAUGUUAAGGCUCUCCUAAUCUAAUCAUUCACUUCUGGGCUUUCUUGCAUGAGCUUUGGGGGAAACACUCCUUAUUUAUACCAUAUCAGGGAUCAUAGACUAUCCAUGAAGUAUCAGAAUCUUUGGUUUGAUGGGUUUGCUGGCCACCCCAGGUGUAUGCCAGGCAGGCCAGAGCCCCUGUGUGUUCCAUCUUAAUGUCAGUAGGUGCAGCGUGGAGGUUUUGAAGUUUGUGGUGAUGGAGAUGGCAGUACCAGGGCAACGUCCAAGGCUUCAUAACUGUGGAAGGCUGAAGUCUUUGCUAGAGAUUUUCUUCUCCACACUCCUCCAUCACCAAAGAGGCAAAGGGCUAAUACCUGACAUUGUAGAUGGUUGUGAGUAGAACUCAGGUCAUCUGAGCCCAGCAAUCCAUCCUAGAUCCAUGACAGAUCUGCUUGCCCUCCACCUCAUUUUACUACAAGCACCUUCACUUUUCUCUGAGAGUUGGAGUGUGAGUCCACUCUUUUUCAGGAGGUCACCAGUGGCAGCAAAGCAAAAAACUUCAAAAUGUCUGCAAAACAUAGUCAUAGUCCUUACUGCUGAAGCUGGUCUAGGGCUCUAAUUAAAAGAUUUGAGUAGACAUAGAGACAGUAGAAUGAAUUGGACAUAACGUACUUAUGUUCAUGUAUGACUACAUGACCAGUGUAACGCCACAUCAUCUACAACCAUAAGAAUGGGAAGUGACACUCCACUUCUGUAUGAUAUGUCAAAAUACAGUCUACUGUUAUAUAUAACUAAAAAGCAAAUAAACACUUUUUAAAAAAAGAAGUAGAGAGAAAGAAGAAGAAAGGAGAAGGAGAGACAGAAAUUCAGAGCAAGGAAAAGAUGGCAUUGUAUUAGGAGCUAGGUUUGAAUAAAGAUUCAGAAAUCAUACCAUCUCUAGGUUUUUCUUAUUUCCAUCCCCCUCCCACUAACCAGAUGUCAGACAUUUUCCUCCUACUAUGGGAUUGAUUUUUUGAACAUUUACCCUUUGUGAACACUUUUUAGAAUAAAAAAUAAUAUAUUUUUUAACCUCUCCCAAAUACACUGAGAAUGAAUUUGUGAUAUAGUUUUUAAAAUUGAUUCUUACUUAUGGGAGGCAAAUCAUACAGCAAUUAGAUAAUGAAGUUUCUCACAGUUCUAUGUGAAAUUCCAUGGGGCUAUAAGUUAGGCUACUUUACAAAUGUAAAAAGUAAAGAGAAAGCCAGAAAGUUGAUGUUCAAAACUCUGUAUAAAGUGUAUAUUUAAUAGAAAAAAUACUUUGAUCUGUUAAUCAAGAAAUAUUUUCUAGGUACAACUUGAUAGGAUGGAAGUCGAUAUUCAAAGAAGAAAAGGCAGGUAAAUGAAACUUAAAACAAGUGAAAGGGAUUUGGGAUUGCAUUGUAUUUUAAGAUACACACAUACAUGUGGAAAUUCUGAAACUUUGGGAAGGAACAGAGAAAAUAUGGAAACAGGGGAAAGGGACAAAAGAAACAAAGCCAGUAGAGAAUUUUGUGAAGAGUACUGCUGGCACUCUCCUGAUGAACAUCCUCACUACCAUAAGGUCAAGGCAUGGUAGAGAGGAACAUCAGCUACCUGAACUUUCUCCCAGAGCCCAGUUAUCUGAAAACACGCUAAUUAUACUAAUAAUAGAUCUGUGCCCCGAAGGAUAUCAGGAAAGCAAUAAGAAUUGGUAUGUCUAAAAUUAAUUUUAAGCAUAAUUGGUAGGUAAUAUAAAAGUGCUAGUACAAUUUGAAAAAUAGUGGCCAUGUAAUCGAUAUGGUUCUUCUCUGCUGUUUUCUGCCCAGUUCCUUCGUGCCUUGGGGUUUGCUUCCAUGCUUAAGGAGGGGCUCUGAGUGCAGUUUCUAGGCAGGUGUUUGGAUGAUAAGCCUUGUCACAGGGGUGGAAGGAAGUCAUUCAGAGUGUGGAAUAUAAAGUAAAAAAAUAGUAAAAAGUGAGGACCUGGGGCUGGGGCUGGGGCUCAGGGCUAGGGCACUCGCUUAGCAUGUGCGAGGCCCUGGUUUCCAACAUCAGCACCACAUAAAAAUAAAUAAAUAAAAUAAAGGUAUUGGCCAACUACAACUAAAAAAAUAAAUAUUAAAAAAAAUCAGGACCCAAGGGCAGCCUGGAAUCAAGCCAAGCAAUCGGCCAGCAAGUGCACCUGAGGGUACAAGACCAGGAAGCUGGACCCUGCAGUCAGUCACAGCCCUGCAGGAUUCACCUCCAUCCUGCAGGUAGCAGCCAGGCCUGGCAAUACCCAAUUCUUCAAAAAAUUUAAAGGAUUUUUUUCUUUUCUUCUUUUACUGAAAAAAAAGGCAAUUCCAGUGAUUUUUCUUAUCCUUACAUGCUGACAACAAGAGUUUUUAA
Molecule: non-coding RNA, 17151 nt
Organism: Ictidomys tridecemlineatus (thirteen-lined ground squirrel)
Lineage: Eukaryota; Metazoa; Chordata; Mammalia; Rodentia; Sciuridae
Source: RefSeq, a predicted model, not a curated record